AAGUCGUAACAAGGUUUCCGUAGGUGAACCUGCGGAAGGAUCAUUACAAAUCUUUUUAAAGUCCUAAAAAUAUAUUUUUUUUUUUGGGACUUUAUAUGUCCGAGGCAGCAAUGCUUCGUUACAUUUACGCUUGUAUGUUUGACAGAGUUAGUGUGAUUUUUUAAUAUAUACAACUUUUAACAAUGGAUCUCUUGGCUCUU
Molecule: unclassified non-coding RNA, 200 nt
Filed under: fungal sp.
Lineage: Eukaryota; Fungi
Description: partial internal transcribed spacer region
Rfam family: Eukaryotic small subunit ribosomal RNA (bases 1-46)
Source: RNAcentral